Molecule: ribosomal RNA, 721 nt
Filed under: uncultured delta proteobacterium
Lineage: Bacteria; Deltaproteobacteria
Description: bacterial SSU rRNA
Rfam family: Bacterial small subunit ribosomal RNA
Source: RNAcentral
UGCAAGUCGUGCGAGAAAGGGGCAACCCCGGUAGAGCGGCGCACGGGUGAGUAACACGUAGGUAAACUGCCCCCAGGUGGUGGAUAACCUUCCGAAAGGAGGGCUAAUACAGCAUAAGACCACGGCCUCGAAAGAGGAUGAGGUCAAAGCCGGCCAAUUUAUGAAAGCUGGCGCCAGGGGAUGUGCCUGCGGCCCAUCAGCUAGUUGGUAGGGUAAUGGCCUACCAAGGCGAAGACGGGUAGCUGGUCUGAGAGGAUGAUCAGCCACACUGGAACUGAGACACGGUCCAGACUCCUACGGGAGGCAGCAGUGGGGAAUCUUGCGCAAUGGGCGAAAGCCUGACGCAGCGACGCCGCGUGAGUGAUGAAGGCCUUCGGGUUGUAAAGCUCCGUGGAGCGGGACGAAUAAGUGUUGGCUAAUAUCCAACAUGGUGACGGUACCGCCUUAGCAAGCACCGGCUAACUCUGUGCCAGCAGCCGCGGUAAGACAGAGGGUGCAAACGUUGUUCGGAAUUACUGGGCGUAAAGCGCGUGUAGGCUGCUUUGCAAGUCGGAUGUGAAAGCCCUGGGCUCAACCUAGGAAGUGCAUUCGAAACUGCAGAGCUCGAGUCCUGGAGAGGAUAGCGGAAUUCUCGGUGUAGAGGUGAAAUUCGUAGAUAUCGAGAGGAACACCGGUGGCGAAGGCGGCUAUCUGGACAGUGACUGACGCUGAGACGCGAAAG